Molecule: ribosomal RNA, 917 nt
Filed under: Paenibacillus sp. E3R8_pA
Lineage: Bacteria; Bacillati; Bacillota; Bacilli; Caryophanales; Paenibacillaceae
Description: bacterial SSU rRNA
Rfam family: Bacterial small subunit ribosomal RNA
Source: RNAcentral
AGAGUUUGAUCCUGGCUCAGGACGAACGCUGGCGGCGUGCCUAAUACAUGCAAGUCGAGCGGGUUUAUCCUUCGGGGUAAGCUAGCGGCGGACGGGUGAGUAACACGUAGGUAACCUGCCUAUAAGAUCGGGAUAACUAUCGGAAACGAUAGCUAAGACCGGAUAAUUGGUUUUCUCGCAUGAGAGAAUUAUGAAACACGGAGCAAUCUGUGGCUUAUAGAUGGGCCUGCGGCGCAUUAGCUAGUUGGUAGGGUAACGGCCUACCAAGGCGACGAUGCGUAGCCGACCUGAGAGGGUGAACGGCCACACUGGGACUGAGACACGGCCCAGACUCCUACGGGAGGCAGCAGUAGGGAAUCUUCCGCAAUGGACGCAAGUCUGACGGAGCAACGCCGCGUGAGUGAUGAAGGUUUUCGGAUCGUAAAGCUCUGUUGCCCUAGACGAACAGCAAGGAGAGUAACUGCUCUUUGUGUGACGGUAUAGGAGAAGAAAGCCCCGGCUAACUACGUGCCAGCAGCCGCGGUAAUACGUAGGGGGCAAGCGUUGUCCGGAAUUAUUGGGCGUAAAGCGCGCGCAGGCGGUCAAUUAAGUUGGGUGUUUAAGCCCGGGGCUCAACCCCGGUUCGCAUCCAAAACUGGUUGACUUGAGUGUAGGAGAGGAAAGUGGAAUUCCACGUGUAGCGGUGAAAUGCGUAGAGAUGUGGAGGAACACCAGUGGCGAAGGCGACUUUCUGGCCUAUAACUGACGCUGAGGCGCGAAAGCGUGGGGAGCAAACAGGAUUAGAUACCCUGGUAGUCCACGCCGUAAACGAUGCAUACUAGGUGUUGGGGAUUCGAUUCCUCGGUGCCGAAGUUAACACAGUAAGUAUGCCGCCUGGGGAGUACGCUCGCAAGAGUGAAACUCAAAGGAAUUGACGG